UGCAACUUGAAAACUUCUUCAUGAAGUUUCAACAAUUUUUAUUGGAGUCAACAAUUGUGGCUUUAAUAUUCAACAUUGUUCUCUCUCCAUUCAUUAAAAAGAAGGUAACAGAAGUUCGGGACGUUUUUGGACAAAAAGAGGACGAUAAGAAUCUGUGCCCCACAUAAUUUCCAGCAACAUUACCAAAAAUAAAAAACAUCAAACUGAUAUCACAUAAUUUAUCGUGGCUGUGCAUCUUUCAAUUUCGGCAGAUUUUUCACGUACGCACACAAAAUCCAACUUCAUCAACAAUAGUUGAAUAAUCACUAUGUCCCUUAAAAAAAAAUCCUCUCUGAUUUUCUUCAUCCCUUCGGAACCCAAGACCAACUCUAACAAAGAAACCACCAUUAACCUUGUCCCAGAGUCCCCAACAGCAACUAUCCACGACCCAUUUAACAACACCGAGACAUCUGGUUUCUUCAACUUUCGAAACUGACCCAUUUGGGAUACCACGUGAGCUACAAGAAUGGAUUUGAGGACCACGGCGACUUCAAGUGAGAGAAUUGAUUUGGGGGAAAUUGAUUUUCGGAGUUUAGGGUUUGGUGAUUUCAUAGACAAACUCGUGUUUGGUUUUAUACGUCAAAGAUGUGUUCUAGACUAUUUUUUGACGUGGCGAUGACGGGGAAUUGAUUUGGCAAUAAUGGGACUCAAUUUACCACAUGGAAUGAGUUAACCAGACACGUCAUCAUUCCAUCCUCGACGUUAGCAACAAUUCAAACGGCAUCCAGUCGGGUGAGUGAUGGACACUAGCGGAGGAAAGUUUAGUGGCUAAUGGGACAACUCACAAAGUUCAGUGAGUAAAUCGCGACAUAGUACAAAGUUCAAUGGCCAAUGAAACAUUUAGAGUCUCUAUCUCUGGCGGAAUCUAUCCCUGCAUACCAGUUCUUCCUUCCAAUCUCUCACCGUCUCACACUCUCCCCUCUCUCUCCCAGCCAUGGGAACUCUUCAGGUUUUCCAUCAUUAGCGCGACCAAGCGGUUCAUCUAGGAGGCCGCUGCCGCCUUGCUGUCUCACUGGACGCCGUCGAAAGAGUAAUACUGUUCGAAGUAUUGGAGCUCUAACUAACUCUUCAAUUUCUGAUUUCUUUGGAAGUAUGAGACUUGGCUCAACCCCAAAGCCGUUGCAUUUACAAUACAAGCAGAGCAGAAGCAGUUUAUCUAUUUUCACCAUGGCCGCUAAUGGGAAAGUGUUUGAUAAACGGUCGAAAUGAUGCCAAUGAUGCCAUUGGCGAGGUUAAAGAGGGAGAUAAAGUGGCUGCCAAUUGUUCAAGCUUCCUUCAAUUGCUGAUUGUACUGCUGAUAUCUCAACCAACUCCUUCGUGGCUUUCCAAUUCAUUUGCUUUGUCGGCUGCCUGGUUGAAUUCCAAUAAAUAAAGUUGGGAGCUUGGAAUGGCAAAGAGUUCAUUCAAGCAAGAAUAUGAUCUUGAGAAGAGGUGUGCUGAAGCUAAAGUACAGUAGAAGUAACAGUAGCAGGAAUAUUAUGAUUGCAAAAUCAGGUAUGACUAUGCAAAUAGGCCUCAAGAAGGUUUGUCCCAGGUAGGGAAAUCAAUUUGAAGAUGUGUAAGAAUUCAAGCGACAUUUAUUACUUCCAAAGUUGAAAAUUUUGAAUAAAUUCCCAGUAACUCAAUAUUAAUCAGUUCGAUAGGAUUCCAUACAUCUGAGUACUACUUUCACCAAGGUUUCCUUAUUUUGAGGUAACAUUGGACUUUUUUUCACCCUACUAAUAACUGAUCAAUUUUCUAUUUUCACUGCCACUCAAGUGAGUUAUUGUGGCAACAGGAGUCUAGCUCUAAGUUGUAAUAAUUCAUAUCUUGUGGCUGCAUCAGUUGCAAACUGAAUGUGGGCGGCUUGAAUCUUAUUGGUGCUUUUGGUACUCAUUAUUACAUUGGCUUCUGCUGAAUUCAUUCUUUUUCUACCUUGGUUUAGUAGAGGUUAUCAGUUGGUACACUUUUGUGUAAUAUGAAGCACAUGGAGUAAAUUGUUACGUUAACCAAAAAAAAAAAGGUUAAAAUAGGAAAAGAAAAAAUUGGAUAGUUUGAGAAUUCGGAUUCCAUUUGUCAGUUACUGAUUUUAUGCUGUUCAGAAGGUUAUUGAUUUAAUGCAUUUCGUUUUACAAUUUCUAUGAAAAUUCCUAGGAAGGAGAUUUAAUUACUUUAAGUUACUGGGGAUGAAGGUUCUGUCCAAGAGAAUGGCAAGGAAUUGCUUGUGUCUGUGGGGACUCUAGAGUUCUGGAGGCAGAGCAGAAAUAGAAAAAGUAACCAGAUGCUCUGGGGAUAUGAGUUCUCGUAAAAUUGUUACACCUCCACGAUGAUUUCUGUUCAGUCUCACACUCUCUUUUUCUAUUAGCUUCCAAGGGAGUUGAUCCAUCUGCCACAGCACCAGAAAUUAAGAAGGCUUAUCGAAAAGCUGCACUCAAAUAUCACCCUGACAAGGCUGGUCAAUCCUUGCCUAGAAAUGAAAAUGGAGAUGAUGGGCUUUGGAAAGAAAUAGCAGAAGAAGUACAUAAAGAUGCAGACAGGCUCUUCAAAAUGAUUAGGGAGGCAUGUGCAGUACUUUCAGACCCCACAAAGGUUUGUUUCAAUUCUAAAUGAUUACAGGUUAUCCACCUCUUUUUAUCCUUUUCAUAAUACACACAAAAUCCUCUGGCAUGAUAUUGUCAAGUUCAAGUUAGAGAAGUGAUCCUGGUGGUUGGAGGUAGUAAAGUAUAUGCAUCUGAACCGUAUUAUUAUCGAGUUAGUCUGAUGGGGUGUAAUGUUAAUCAUUGACUUGUGGUUCUCCAUUAUGUGUUUCCCAGGCCUGCAAUACAAAUUUAUGUUGAACUUUGUAAAUUUGCUCAUUUAAGUACUUUAUUUUUUAGAGAGAGA
This is an RNA transcript of Olea europaea var. sylvestris, 2901 nucleotides long. RefSeq lists it as uncharacterized. NCBI's taxonomy places the organism in Eukaryota, Viridiplantae, Streptophyta, Magnoliopsida, Lamiales, Oleaceae. The record is from RefSeq and is a predicted model, not a curated record. The transcript is spliced from 9 exons.